AAUAAGUAUAACAAUUAGUAUCUUUAUCUAACUUUAAUCGUCCAUCUUAUUUUAAGGUUUUAUGAUUAGUGCUUUUAUUGUUAUUAGAUUAUAAAACAUGAAUAAUACUUUAUACGUAACUUAUGUUUUUUUAGUUUUUCAAAAAACAAUAAAUAAGAUGGACGAUUAAAAUAGAACAUGGCUAUGUUUAUU
Non-coding RNA from Oryza glumipatula, 192 nucleotides. Lineage: Eukaryota; Viridiplantae; Streptophyta; Magnoliopsida; Poales; Poaceae. The record is from Rfam.